This 446-nucleotide ribosomal RNA is filed under the name uncultured bacterium. RNAcentral describes it as "partial 16S ribosomal RNA". It matches the Rfam family "Bacterial small subunit ribosomal RNA", at positions 338 to 795 of the family's 1533-position model. The record is from RNAcentral.
UCUACGGGAGGCUGCAGUUUCGAAUCAUUCACAAUGGGCGAAAGCCUGAUGGUGCGACGCCGCGUGAGGGAUGAAGGUCUUCGGAUUGUAAACCUCUGUCACCGGGGAAGAAACGCUUCAAGUUAAUAGUUUGAAGCCUGACUUAACCCGGAGAGGAAGCAGUGGCUAACUCUGUGCCAGCAGCCGCGGUAAUACAGAGACUGCAAGCGUUAUUCGGAUUCACUGGCGGUAAAGUGUGCGCAGGCUGACAGCCCGGAGCUUAACUCCGGAAUUGCUCCUCAAACUACAUGGCUAGAGCAUUGGAGAGGGUAGCAGAAUUCACGGUGUAGCAGUGAAAUGCGUAGAUAUCGUGAGGAAUACCAGAGGCGAAGGCGGCUACCUGGACAAUUGCUGACGCUCAGGCACGAAAGCGUGGGGAGCAAAAGGGAUUAGAUACCCUGGUAGUC